RNAcentral lists this non-coding RNA (419 nucleotides) under Ixodes scapularis (black-legged tick). Its description in RNAcentral is "Eukaryotic large subunit ribosomal RNA". It matches the Rfam family "Eukaryotic large subunit ribosomal RNA", at positions 3007 to 3393 of the family's 3401-position model. The record is from Rfam by way of RNAcentral. Lineage: Eukaryota; Metazoa; Arthropoda; Arachnida; Ixodida; Ixodidae.
GUCAUUGUGAUAGUAAUCCUGCUCAGUACGAGCGGAACCGCAGGUUCGGACACUUGGUUCAUGUGCUUGGUUGAAAGACCAGUGGUGCGAAGCUACCAUCCCUGGGAUUACGACUAAACGCCUCUAAGUCAGAAUUCCGUCUAAGCAGAGCAAUGAUAUCGUGCGCACUUGCUGCGUUUACAGGUGAAGUUAGAGUUUCUCGGGUCGAUCGCGGCGGGAUGCCGCGAUUCCCGGCUCGACGACGCCGCAUUAGUCGUUCGCCGAAGUAACGGUGCGAGCCACGCUCCCAUGCACUCGUUUUGGGUGUGAACCGCUGCGGUGUCAAAUCGUCUGUAGACGACUUAGGUACCUGUCGUGGGAUCGUAAUUAGUAGAGGAGCCAUCGCACUGCGAUCUAUUGAGCCUCAGCCUCCACUAUCU